CCUACGUGGGGCUGCAGUGGGGAAUAUUGGACAAUGGGGGCAACCCUGAUCCAGCCAUGCCGCGUGUGUGAAGAAGGCCCUCGGGUUGUAAAGCACUUUCAGUGAGGAAGAACGCCUGGUGGUUAAUACCCAUCAGGAAAGACAUCACUCACAGAAGAAGCACCGGCUAACUCCGUGCCAGCAGCCGCGGUAAUACGGAGGGUGCGAGCGUUAAUCGGAAUUACUGGGCGUAAAGCGCGCGUAGGUGGCUUGAUAAGCCGGUUGUGAAAGCCCCGGGCUCAACCUGGGAACGGCAUCCGGAACUGUCAAGCUAGAGUGCAGGAGGGGAAGGUAGAAUUCCCGGUGUAGCGGUGAAAUGCGUAGAGAUCGGGAGGAAUACCAGUGGCGAAGGCGGCCUUCUGGACUGACACUGACACUGAGGUGCGAAAGCGUGGGUAGCAAACAGGAUUAGAUACCCUGUAGUC
Molecule: ribosomal RNA, 464 nt
Filed under: Vreelandella stevensii
Lineage: Bacteria; Pseudomonadati; Pseudomonadota; Gammaproteobacteria; Oceanospirillales; Halomonadaceae
Description: partial 16S ribosomal RNA
Rfam family: Bacterial small subunit ribosomal RNA
Source: RNAcentral